Molecule: long non-coding RNA, 2697 nt
Organism: Oncorhynchus tshawytscha (Chinook salmon)
Lineage: Eukaryota; Metazoa; Chordata; Actinopteri; Salmoniformes; Salmonidae
Source: Ensembl
GGGGUUUCUUAAUGCUCUAGUGGUGGGGGUUUCUUAAUGCUCUAGUGGUGGGGGUUUCUUAAUGCUCUAGUGGUGGGGGUUUCUUAAUGCUCUAGUGGUGGGGGUUUCUUAAUGCUCUAGUGGUGGGGGUUUCUUAAUGCUCUAUGGUGGGGGUUUCUUAAUGCUCUAGUGGUGGGGCUCUAGUGGUGGGGGAAGAGCUUUACAGAAAGAAAGAGAAUGUAAUUAUGUGUGAAGUAAUUUUUUUCUUCCAUGAAAAGGGUGGGUGUGGCGUGGGGGGACGGGCAGGCUAGCCGCUUUUCAACUUUUUUCAUGUAAAUAAGAUUUCUAAAUUCGGGUUAUAUAGAUUUGUAUUAAAUAUAUAUAAUAAUAAUUUAAAAAAACAUUAAAUAAAAACAAUAAAUGUUAAGAUAUUUGAAUUUCAAAAAAAUCGACAAAGAUGAGGCAACAACCAAGAAAACACCAUUUGUGUAUAAACCAUUUGGCCAGAGGGGGGAAGUGAAGUGGGGAAUAUAGGAGAACCACACACUGUUGAAGGGAGCUAUGGCACAAAGAGUUGAGACAUGUGAAGCGGAGAGGGAGAGACAACUUCACAACGAGGGAGGAGGCUCAGCUAUCUCCCCGGCUCAGCAAAGGUUAAGCCCUGGGUGGAGAUGUGACCUGUGACUGGCUGACGUUGAGCCCCAGUUGACAAAUCAGGUGCUGAAUUCUGUUCAUAUUCUUUUCAACAGUAGUGCACUACAUGAGGAAUAGGGUGCCGUUAUGUCUUGACGUGUAGCUAGUAGCUACUUCAUCUCAUUAGACUGUGACAUCUAGUGUGUCACACUGACUAGUGUGUCAUCCCAGCAGUCAACACGACCCUUCCUUCCCUAACAUUAGAAACCAACGUCGGUGCUCGUCCAAAAUGGCACACACUUCCCUUUUUAUAUAGUGCACUGCUUUUGACCAGAGCCCAAAGUAAAGUCAAAAGUAGUACAACGAUAUAUAAGGGAACAGGGUUCCAUUCCUGAUGCAUUUCAGUUCCUCGACCCCCUCAGUGACAGCGUCAUCAGUGAAAGGUUGUCCGUUUCUAUCUCCUUACCAAGUUGAGCCUCUCUUUCUGCUCUGGUUAUAAAGUGACUUUGUACGACGUUUUGUGUGACGUGUGUGAUUCAUUGACUUUAAGAUUACGGCCCAAAGGGCACCCUAUUCCAUAUUUAGUGCACUACUUUUGACCAGGUAGUGACCUAUAUAGGGAAUAGUGUGCCAUUUGGGACCCGGAAAUAAAAACAGAACAAUAUUUCAGAACAAAAUAUGCAUCUCUAAAAUGUGUUUUUUUUAAUUUUAUUUUGAAUGCUAUUAUUUUGUCUAUUAUUCAUUAUCAUCACAGGCUUUAAGUUGGGGGUUUUUCGUGAUCCAAUACCGUUGUGAUUGUGUCUGUUUUUUUGGGGGACGUUUUCUAUUCUCUUUUAAAGGGUGUGUAUGUGAUUUGAAAAGAUUGAAACAUGUAAUAGCAGAUUCCCUCAGAGCGGUUUCACAACACUCUGGGGGUCUGUUUAGAGCUCUGUGUAUUAGGGCUUGAUUCAAUCCAUUGCUGAAGUUCAGCGUUAAAACACGAUUUGACAUUUAAAAGCAAUCGUUUCGCUGAGACUGCAUUCGUGGUAAACGCUGCGUAAGUCGGCUCAAUGGGAGGUGAGCUUCGGCGGUACGGAUUGAAUUGAGUCCUUUUAGUUAUUCAUAUGUAUCAGAUCUACUUUCUAGACGUGUAUCUACGCCACGGUGCACAGCUGUGCUGAGGCUGAGAGCCUUCUCUCUCCACUUCAGAUUCAUCCGCCACACACCUGCUCAGUCGUACUGCUUCUGUACCUGUCGCUCCAGUUGAAACACUAACAGACAUGUAUUCAUUAUGACCUUGAUCUCAGUUCCACUGGAUAACAGGGGUCCCACCUAGCUUGGUUGCCAGGUCCAGUAUGUGCUUUCGUAAAAUAAUGCCAUGACGUUGAUAGUCGGAAGUUUGGCUUAAGCCUGUACAGAUCUGGCAACUAGUCGAGACCAGACAGUGGAGUCGGACCCUUAAACACUCCAUAUAACUCUGUUGUAGAGGAGUGUGUUUGAUCAUCGGAGUUAAACAUAAUCAGGGAGGCAGUUUCCACUCUUGACUCUUUUAGGAGGAAGGAGUUCUUCUCCCUUUCUGUCCUUCUCUUGGGUUUGGUCCUUGAUAGCCUGGUCCCAGAUGUGUUUGUGCUGUUUUGCCCAACUCGUCAGACUGUGACCGUCAGAGUUGGCUCGAUGGCACAAAGAGAUCUGAGACCAGGCUAGGAGGUCCUUAAUGCUCUGUGUUGAGACGAUAUAGAUGUCUUCUCAAUCUUCAGACCCAGAAUUACAAGGCCUUUGGUUUCAUUGUGACAUUUCAACAGAAAAAAAAACAAAGGAAAACAGAUGUUUUUUUAAAUUAAUUUAUUUUUGUUUCUUUGGGGAAGUGCAUAUUGUUGAAGCACACGUCCAGUGGUGACCGUGGGAUUUGCAAUAGGUCUUUAUAUCUGCUGUAAUUGUUCUAAUAAAAAGGGUUUGGAUUCUGGGAAAGUUUGAUGUAUUUAUUUGGCUUUGUGACAUCUAAUACUUUAUGUUGAUUUGAGGUGCAUUUCAAAAUGUCAUUCAUUGUGGGAUUUUAUCAGACAUUCCUCUUAUUGUGCAGUUUUAUGUAAUGGCAUGAGUUUUCCU